Molecule: microRNA precursor, 63 nt
Filed under: Ornithorhynchus anatinus (platypus)
Lineage: Eukaryota; Metazoa; Chordata; Mammalia; Monotremata; Ornithorhynchidae
Description: Oan-Novel-13_pre stem-loop
Source: RNAcentral
UCCGUCAAGCGCCUCCCGCGCGCUCGCGACGGUGCCCCGCGCACGGGAGGCGCUUGACGAAUC